UACGUUCAAACCACCAUGAAAGCACCCGAUCCCAUCAGAACUCGGAAGUUAAGCAUGGUUGGGCUCGAUCAGUACUGGGUUGAGGGAUCACCUGGGAACCCCGAGUAACGU
Molecule: ribosomal RNA, 111 nt
Filed under: Tetradesmus obliquus
Lineage: Eukaryota; Viridiplantae; Chlorophyta; Chlorophyceae; Sphaeropleales; Scenedesmaceae
Source: RNAcentral